UUCUGUAAGCCUGUGAAGGUGGCCUGUGAGGGUUGCUGGAGGUAUCAGAAGUGCGAAUGCUGACAUAAGUAACGAUAAAGCGGGUGAAAAGCCCGCUCGCCGGAAGACCAAGGGUUCCUGUCCAACGUUAAUCGGGGCAGGGUGAGUCGACCCCUAAGGCGAGGCCGAAAGGCGUAGUCGAUGGGAAACGGGUUAAUAUUCCCGUACUUGGUGUUACUGCGAAGGGGGGACGGAGAAGGCUAUGUUGGCCGGGCGACGGUUGUCCCGGUUUAAGCGUGUAGGUGUGUGUUCCAGGUAAAUCCGGUUCACUUUAACACUGAGGCGUGACGACGAGGCACUACGGUGCUGAAGCAACAAAUGCCCUGCUUCCAGGAAAAGCCUCUAAGCAUCAGGUAACAUCAAAUCGUACCCCAAACCGACACAGGUGGUCAGGUAGAGAAUACCAAGGCGCUUGAGAGAACUCGGGUGAAGGAACUAGGCAAAAUGGUGCCGUAACU
RNAcentral lists this ribosomal RNA (497 nucleotides) under Salmonella enterica. RNAcentral describes it as "partial 23S ribosomal RNA". It matches the Rfam family "Bacterial large subunit ribosomal RNA", at positions 1239 to 1735 of the family's 2925-position model. The record is from RNAcentral. Lineage: Bacteria; Pseudomonadati; Pseudomonadota; Gammaproteobacteria; Enterobacterales; Enterobacteriaceae.